GAUGAACGCUGGCGGCGUGCCUAAUACAUGCAAGUCGAGCGAACAGACGAGGAGCUUGCUUCUCUGACGUUAGCGGCGGACGGGUGAGUAACACGUGGAUAACCUACCUAUAAGACUGGGAUAACUUCGGGAAACCGGAGCUAAUACCGGAUAAUAUAUUGAACCGCAUGGCUCAAUAGUGAAAGACGGUUUUGCUGUCACUUAUAGAUGGAUCCGCGCCGCACUAGCUAGUUGGUAAGGUAACGGCUUACCAAGGCAACGAUGCGUAGCCGACCUGAGAGGGUGAUCGGCCACACUGGAACUGAGACACGGUCCAGACUCCUACGGGAGGCAGCAGUAGGGAAUCUUCCGCAAUGGGCGAAAGCCUGACGGAGCAACGCCGCGUGAGUGAUGAAGGUCUUCGGAUCGUAAAACUCUGUUAUUAGGGAAGAACAAAUGUGUAAGUAACUAUGCACGUCUUGACGGUACCUAAUCAGAAAGCCACGGCUAACUACGUG
Molecule: ribosomal RNA, 497 nt
Filed under: uncultured bacterium
Lineage: Bacteria
Description: partial 16S ribosomal RNA
Rfam family: Bacterial small subunit ribosomal RNA
Source: RNAcentral